This is a long non-coding RNA of Helicoverpa armigera (cotton bollworm), 249 nucleotides long. RefSeq lists it as uncharacterized. The record is from RefSeq and is a predicted model, not a curated record. The transcript has 2 exons. Lineage: Eukaryota; Metazoa; Arthropoda; Insecta; Lepidoptera; Noctuidae.
CAGGACCCCUAGGACCGAUUUCAAAAAUAUUUUGAUUUCUUGUUAAGAGUGAAUUAAAGAACCUAUUCCAACCACUCCCACUACUGGGCAAAUGGCAUAGGCUUUGUAAACAGACUGUUCAUGUGGAACAUUUAAACCAGUUUUCCUCGGGACCCCUGGGACAGAUUUCAAAAAUAUUUUAAUUUCAUGUUAAAAUGAAGUAAAGAACCUAUUUUGACCACUCCCAGUACUGGGCAAAUGCCAAAGACU